GAUGAAGAACGUAGCGAAAUGCGAUAACUAAUGUGAAUUGCAGAAUUCAGUGAAUCAUCGAGUCUUUGAACGCACAUUGUGCCCCCUGGUAUUCCGGGGGGCAUGCCUGUCCGAGCGUCAUUGCUGCCCUCAAGCACGGCUUGUGUGUUGGGCUCCGUCCCCCCGGGGACGGGCCCGAAAGGCAGCGGCGGCACCGAGUCCGGUCCUCGAGCGUAUGGGGCUUUGUCACCCGCUCUGUAGGCCCGGCCGGCGCCAGCCGACAACCCAUCAUCCUUUUCAGGUUGACCUCGGAUCAGGUAGGGAUACCCGCUGAACUUAAGCAUAUCAAUAAGCGGAGGA
RNAcentral lists this unclassified non-coding RNA (339 nucleotides) under soil metagenome. RNAcentral's name for it is "partial contains 5.8S ribosomal RNA, internal transcribed spacer 2, and large subunit ribosomal RNA". The stretch from base 1 to 120 matches the Rfam family "5.8S ribosomal RNA", at positions 35 to 154 of the family's 154-position model. The record is from RNAcentral.